RNAcentral lists this ribosomal RNA (253 nucleotides) under uncultured bacterium. RNAcentral's name for it is "partial 16S ribosomal RNA". It matches the Rfam family "Bacterial small subunit ribosomal RNA", at positions 524 to 776 of the family's 1533-position model. The record is from RNAcentral.
UACGUAGGGUGCAAGCGUUAUCCGGAAUUAUUGGGCGUAAAGAGCUCGUAGGCGGUUUGUCGCGUCUGCUGUGAAAACUGGAGGCUCAACCUCCAGCCUGCAGUGGGUACGGGCAGACUAGAGUGCGGUAGGGGAGAUUGGAAUUCCUGGUGUAGCGGUGGAAUGCGCAGAUAUCAGGAGGAACACCGAUGGCGAAGGCAGAUCUCUGGGCCGUAACUGACGCUGAGACGCGAAAGCGUGGGGAGCAAACAGG